RNAcentral lists this ribosomal RNA (467 nucleotides) under uncultured bacterium. RNAcentral's name for it is "partial 16S ribosomal RNA". It matches the Rfam family "Bacterial small subunit ribosomal RNA", at positions 29 to 507 of the family's 1533-position model. The record is from RNAcentral.
ACGAACGCUGGCGGCGUGCUUAACACAUGCAAGUCGAACGGAAAGGCCCUGCUUUUGUGGGGUGCUCGAGUGGCGAACGGGUGAGUAACACGUGAGUAACCUGCCCUUGACUUUGGGAUAACUUCAGGAAACUGGGGCUAAUACCGGAUAGGAGCUCCUGCUGCAUGGUGGGGGUUGGAAAGUUUCGGCGGUUGGGGAUGGACUCGCGGCUUAUCAGCUUGUUGGUGGGGUAGUGGCUUACCAAGGCUUUGACGGGUAGCCGGCCUGAGAGGGUGACCGGCCACAGUGGGACUGAGAUACGGCCCAGACGCCUACGGGAGGCAGCAGGGGGGAAUAUUGCACAAUGGGCGGAAGCCUGAUGCAGCAACGCCGCGUGCGGGAUGACGGCCUUCGGGUUGUAAACCGCUUUCGCCUGUGACGAAGCGUGAGUGACGGUAAUGGGUAAAGAAGCACCGGCUAACUACGUG